ACGGGAAAGACAGCGCAUGAACUUUGACGUAAUGAGUCAAAGUUGACGAGGAUGAGGGUUCUCUAUUGCAAGAUAGAGUUAACUAUCUCCCUCUCCAAUUAGGAGAGGGUUGGGGUGAGGUAGGAAAAUCGAAAGUUCAGCGGAAGCCCUCUGGAUAUGCCAUUAUCCAAUCUCUUUCCCUCCAAGGUAAAAACUUUGCUAUUAACAUCUCACAAGUGAUUGCGAGAGCAAAAGGCAAAGGAUGGUGAAA
RNAcentral lists this non-coding RNA (250 nucleotides) under Chloroflexota bacterium. Its description in RNAcentral is "Chloroflexi bacterium GlcN6P sequence". It matches the Rfam family "glmS glucosamine-6-phosphate activated ribozyme aptamer". Rfam says of the family: This entry contains a glucosamine-6-phosphate activated ribozyme that is found in the mRNA for GlmS. GlmS is an enzyme that uses fructose-6-phosphate and glutamine to generate glucosamine-6-phosphate. Lineage: Bacteria; Bacillati; Chloroflexota. The record is from RNAcentral.